This 253-nucleotide ribosomal RNA is filed under the name uncultured bacterium. Its description in RNAcentral is "partial 16S ribosomal RNA". It matches the Rfam family "Bacterial small subunit ribosomal RNA", at positions 524 to 776 of the family's 1533-position model. The record is from RNAcentral.
UACGGAGGGUGCAAGCGUUAUCCGGAUUCACUGGGUUUAAAGGGUGCGUAGGUGGGCAAGUAAGUCAGUGGUGAAAUCUCCGGGCUUAACCCGGAAACUGCCAUUGAUACUAUUUGUCUUGAAUAUCCUGGAGGUGAGCGGAAUAUGUCAUGUAGCGGUGAAAUGCUUAGAUAUGACAUAGAACACCCAUUGCGAAGGCAGCUCACUACGGGAACAUUGACACUGAGGCACGAAAGCGUGGGGAGCAAACAGG